GGAAGUGUGACGGUCAGGACGACUGCGUUGACGGUCGGACGAGAUCAGCUGUUCUGACACAAGUAAGACUCCUGACACAAAAGAUUAUCCGUGGGCCAACAGACUAUCGUUUUAGGACGUUCAAUAGAUCUAUGUUGAUUCCAGCUUCCACUGUUUAAGCGGACAGUGCAUCCAGCAAGGUUGGCAAUGUGACGGGGAGGAGGACUGUACUGAUGGCUCUGACGAACAUGCCUGUCCAAUUGACGCUUUAAACACGUGCGGCCCCAAUCAGUUCCGGUGCGGCAAUGGAAGGUGUAUCCCGGAAACAUGGACGUGUGACUGGGAGGACGACUGCAGAGAUAGCACUGAUGAAAAUAGCUGUAGAGUUCCAGUGCCCUAACACCAAGUGUAUCGGUACUCGCCGGGUCUGCGAUGGAUCGGACGACUGCGGGGACAAUUCCGAUGAAGUCAACUGUAACACUGUAGUUACUGCUGAACGGAACGAAUACGGAUA
This is a long non-coding RNA of Gigantopelta aegis, 493 nucleotides long. RefSeq lists it as uncharacterized. The transcript is spliced from 5 exons. The record is from RefSeq and is a predicted model, not a curated record. Lineage: Eukaryota; Metazoa; Mollusca; Gastropoda; Neomphalida; Peltospiridae.